UACGUAGGGGGCGAGCGUUGUCCGGAAUCAUUGGGCGUAAAGCGCGUGUAGGCGGCCCGGUAAGUCCGCUGUGAAAGUCGGGGGCUCAACCCUCGAAAGCCGGUGGAUACUGUCGGGCUCGAGUGCGGAAGAGGCGAGUGGAAUUCCUGGUGUAGCGGUGAAAUGCGCAGAUAUCAGGAGGAACACCGAUUGCGAAGGCAGCUCGCUGGGACGUUACUGACGCUGAGACGCGAAAGCGUGGGGAGCAAACAGG
This 253-nucleotide ribosomal RNA is filed under the name uncultured bacterium. RNAcentral describes it as "partial 16S ribosomal RNA". It matches the Rfam family "Bacterial small subunit ribosomal RNA", at positions 524 to 776 of the family's 1533-position model. The record is from RNAcentral.